This 779-nucleotide long non-coding RNA is filed under the name Panax ginseng (ginseng). RNAcentral's name for it is "long non-coding RNA (PGIN_LNC002969)". The record is from RNAcentral. Lineage: Eukaryota; Viridiplantae; Streptophyta; Magnoliopsida; Apiales; Araliaceae.
UAUUUUAAUAACCAACAAGCCUAAUCAAUUAAUCCAUUCAAAAAAAAUAAUUAAACUUAACUCAAACUUAUUUAAUAACAAGUACAAACAUUAAUAAGUAACAUAAAGGGAAAAACAAAAAAGUUAAAAUGAAAAAUAAGAUCAAAUGUCCCGCUAUUUUAUAUUCCUCUUCCUCUGAAAAAAAUCCCAAAUCAAAACCCUAAACUUUAAACACCACACAGUGCUUCAACAAUCACCGCUAGUAAUUAUUGAUCGAAAAUCACUCAGUACUUGAACAAUUGUCGAUAGUCACAAACAGCCCCAUCUCCAAUCGAAAAAAGAAAAGAAAAUUGAAGAAGAAGAAAAAAAAUGAUUAUGAAAUCUCGUCUCAAGAGUAGGUUUGUAGUCAUUAGUUUGGUCUCUCUCCUAGUGUACUCGUUGGUGGCGAUCUGGUUAACUCGCCGAUGGCAAGGUUGAUUGGUUGUUGAGAGAAAGAGUAUGUUGGCCCAGCCGGCGAAGUCCAUUUUUUUCGGCAGUAUGGAAUGGUGAAAUCCAAUUUCUCUCUAUUCUUUGUGUUUCGUUUUUUUCGGCAUUUGACUUUUUCUGGGAAUUCCGAUUAGUGUGUUGCAUUUGAUCUGUAACUUGUCAGAAGCGAUUUUAUUUAGUUUUAAUAUUAGACAAAAAGAUAAUUUAAAUAAAUUACAAGAUAAGACUUUUUUUAAUUUAAUCGUCUAAAAUAACUUUUUUUUUCAAUUACACAUAAGUAUUAGUUUGCCUAAUCAACGGGCCACAUCAUCAAU